GGGCCUGCGGAGAGAAUCAGGCGGUCAGCUCCCAGCCCCGAGCCCGCUCUGGUGCGGCCACCUGCCCACGAGCGUUUAUUAAGCACCCACUAUAUGCCUAAGGCGUGUGAAACCUUCAAUUGCCCCAGAGCCAGAAAGAACGGCUGCUUUUUCCUCCUCCGUAGGAUACAGGUACUGGUCCCACACCGGUCCUAGAAAACGACGUGCAGCCAAAACUCAGAGGCUGUGCUCUACAGCCUCGGACAGAAGCUUCUCCCGGCAGCUGCUCUAUGAAGUAGGUGUUAAAUAUGGUGGAAUACAGAAGGAUUCAGUUAAGAUGAGAAAACUAUGGUCAAGAGAGUGGUUGACUGACAUCCAAUGGCAUGCAACAUGUAAGCAUUUGAGGCAAGAUUUGAAUUCAAGCUUCCUGACUGCAAAUCCAUCAAGAUGCCUUUAGUUGGGAAGAAUGGGACUGAUCCAAGUUAGUCCUUAUGCUCAGUGAAGCCCUGAACAACUCUACAGCAUGCUUAGGAAGAUGCUCACAGAAUCCUAACAAAGGUUCAGUGCUCUGCAACUCAUCAAGUUGUCCAGGGAAAUUAUAUCGGAAGUGACUUGCAAGAGUGCCCUUGGGAGAAUAAAGUCUGCCUUUAAUAAUGGAAGUGUCUGGACUCUUGUGUCGGUCAGAUCACAUCUGGAGUAUUUGGCUCCGAGUACCCCAUUUUAUAAGGAACUCUGACAAACUGGAGCGUAUGUAAAGGAGAGGGAUCAGAAUGAUGAGGGGAUUCAAAACCAUGUUCAAGUAGGGGAUGGCUGAAGGAGCUAGAUGUUUAACCUGGAGAAGAGAGGACUUGGGGCAGGGUCCACUGUCUAAAAAUAUUGGAAGAGUUGCUGGGUGGAAGAAGGACAGAGUUUUCCUCUGUUGUUUCAGAGCAGAAAACCAAGACUGGUGGUUGGUAGUGCUGAAGGGCUAGACCUCAGUCUAAGCUAAGGAAGAAUUUUCUAACAAUCAAGCUAUCAGAAAAUUUAAAAUGCUAGUUUGAAAAGUUAUCAAAAGUCUCCAUGAAAGACUGGACGGCUAUCUAUCAGGGGGCUUGGAGGAGACCUCUGCAGUAAGUGGGAAGCUGGACUCCAUAGCUUCAAAGCUUCCUUCCAACUCUGAAGACCCAACACAAAUUGAGGGGUAGGGUUAUUCUGAAAAAUAUUAUCAACCCAUGUAAAAUAGGAGUAGGAAGGUAAAUCCACUGCCAAACCAACUAUAUCAUGUGUUUGAGAAUUUAAGAAAAGGGACUUUCAAACAUCAAUAGCUGCUCCUGUGGAUUAUUUAUGGCAGGGCCCCUGGCCAUCUGUGCAGAAAGUUGCAAGGUUUUAUCUUUGUCUCUCUGGCUGAGUCUUAUGUCUCUUUCCUGCAGUAGAGCAUCCAGACCUUCCCGUUUGAAGCAGCACUCCCCCCACCCUCCCACACCCCUCAUAUACAUCCAUUUCUUCCUAAGAAGGAGCUGUUUGGGGGUAGGGAAGAAUUUUCCAUUAUUCCGAUGUCCUGGUCUCAUCUUCUGAUACAUCUACCAACAUCCCACUUAGAGAUAACCAAAGUUCUUUUUGUGUUGGGAAGUCUAGGAGGUUCAGGCAAAAGGUAUCGCCGAGUGCUUCCCCAUUCAUUUUUCUCCCUUCCCCUUCCAUGUUUCCCCCUAUUCUACUCACCCCCUGGCUAUGGGCUCAGCAAUCCUUUGAAGUCCAAAUGUAUGAAUGAAACACAAGGGAGUAUAAUGGACUCCUUCUGAAACUGGGAAAGUCACGCCCUAGGUGUUAAGUAACCAUUCCUCCAACAAGAAGGAAAUCCAACCUGGCUACAGUGACAGCUCCAGUUCUUCCAGAGGCUCAUUAGCUCUCCCAGGAAGCUCCAGGUUCUGCCCCAGCUCCUGUUACAGGCAGCAAGGGGCCCAGGAGCCUGAACCUCUGUUGUUCUACUACAGAGCUUAGAACUGGUGGAAAGUUUCCCUUCGGGAAGGAAAGUUUCCACUCCUCUUUCCAGCCCCCCGAGGGAGUGUAUACCAGACAUCCGGAAAAUCCUCCCGUGGACAGCCGUCUGCUGGGACUAGAGCCAGAGAAGCUGGGGCCCUGCCUGACAAGGGCCUUGCCCCUCUCCCUCCAGCACUGCCCAGGGAGAAACUCUGAACUGAAAGCAAAGGACAUUUUAAAGCGCUUUCAAUACUUCCUAUUCUUCUCU
Sarcophilus harrisii (Tasmanian devil) is the source of this 2203-nucleotide long non-coding RNA. RefSeq lists it as uncharacterized. NCBI's taxonomy places the organism in Eukaryota, Metazoa, Chordata, Mammalia, Dasyuromorphia, Dasyuridae. The transcript has 3 exons. The record is from RefSeq and is a predicted model, not a curated record.